This 996-nucleotide ribosomal RNA is filed under the name Triticum aestivum (bread wheat). RNAcentral describes it as "partial small subunit ribosomal RNA". Lineage: Eukaryota; Viridiplantae; Streptophyta; Magnoliopsida; Poales; Poaceae. The record is from RNAcentral.
AUGGUGGCGCGCUUCGCUCCCCGCGUGAAACCUCAUCGUCUCGGUCGGUCCAUGUGGGCGGAAGCUGCUCCUCUUCGUCCCGAACCACACCCACCGCCCGUCUUCUCCGUGCCGCCACUGCAAGACCUCAACGCCCGCCUGAAGCGCCUGGUCCAGUCGGGCCGGCUCCUGGACGCGCAGGCCCUGUUCGACGGGGCGCCGCACCGCGACGAGGCCUCCUACUCCGCCCUCCUCGCCGGCCAUGCCGCGGCGGGGGAUGUCGCCGGCGCGAUGGCGCUCUUCUCCCGCAUCCGCGCAUCCUCGCUCCCGGCCGCUGACCCCUUCGUGCUCAGCCUCGCGUUCAAGGCCUGCGCUGCGGCCGCCGACGCCAGCCACGCCGCGUCACUGCACGCCUUCGCCGUCAGUUCCUCGGCUGUCUCCUCCGUCUUCGUCGCCACCGCGCUGGCCGACGCCUACGCCAAGGCCGGCCGCCUCGCGCUGGCACUCAGGGUGUUCGACGAAAUGCCGCUCAAGAACGUGGUCUCCUGGACCACGCUCAUCUCCGCACUGGCGCGGGCCGGCCGCCGCCACGACGCGGUCCGCCGCUUCGCCGAGAUGCGCGCCUCCGGCAUGCCCUGCGACUCGCACGCCUUCGCGGCCGCGCUCACCGCGUGCGCCGACACCGGGCUGCUGUCGCGCGGCCGUGAGGUGCACUCGCUCUGCGCCAAGCUCGGCUUCGACGCCACGCCCUACGUCGCCAACGCACUUGCCACGCUGUACGCGCGCUGCGGGGACGUCCACCGCGCACUGGCUGCGGUCGGCCGCAUGGGCUCGCGAGACGUUGCCGCGUGGACGACUGUGAUAUCCUCCUACGCGCAGACUGGUCGUGCCAAGGAAGCCAUCCUGGCAUUCGUCGCGAUGCUUCGUGACGGGGCAUCAAACGCGGCAAGGCCCAACGAAUACACAUACGCUGCAGUUAUUGCUGCGUGUGCAAAUAUUUCGUGUGUACAUCUUUGA